ACUAACUUCCAGCUUCUAACCUCUAAUAUCUAAAUCGUUAGUGGCGACGGGUGAGUAACACGUUGGAACCUGCCCCAAAGUAAGGGAUAAGCCACCGGAAGGUGGUCUAAUACCUUAUAGUAUCCAUCUCGUAUGGAUUAAAGCUUUAUGCGCUUUGGGAGGGGCCUGCGUUUGAUUAGCUAGUUGGUGAGGUAAAAAGCUCACCAAGGCGACGAUCAAUAGCCGGUUUGAGAGGAUGACCAGCCACACUGGGACUGAGAUACGGCCCAGACUCCUACGGGAGGCAGCAGUAAGGAAUCUUCCACAAUGGGGCAACCCUGAUGGAGCAAUACCGCGUGCAGGAUGAAGCGUUUCGGCGUGUAAACUGCUUUUAUCACCGAAGAUUAUGACUGUAGGUGAAGAAUAAGGACCGGCUAACUACGUG
This 424-nucleotide ribosomal RNA is filed under the name uncultured bacterium. RNAcentral describes it as "bacterial SSU rRNA". It matches the Rfam family "Bacterial small subunit ribosomal RNA", at positions 66 to 507 of the family's 1533-position model. The record is from RNAcentral.